UAAUAUUUUAUUAAAUGUGUGAAUAAAACAAGUUGUAAUUUUAUAGACACUAUGUACUUCACAUUGGCACUUUUAUGGUUAUGUUUCAGAAUUAUUCAUGGAGAAAUAAUUCAAUGUCCUAUUGGUGGAUUAGAUGAUGACGAACAAUGCGAAAAAUUAAUUAAAGAAAAUGUGAUGAAUCUAUAUUAUAUGAGUAAGUUAU
Molecule: long non-coding RNA, 202 nt
Organism: Melanaphis sacchari
Lineage: Eukaryota; Metazoa; Arthropoda; Insecta; Hemiptera; Aphididae
Exons: 3
Source: RefSeq, a predicted model, not a curated record